This 891-nucleotide ribosomal RNA is filed under the name uncultured Gammaproteobacteria bacterium. Its description in RNAcentral is "bacterial SSU rRNA". It matches the Rfam family "Bacterial small subunit ribosomal RNA", at positions 8 to 916 of the family's 1533-position model. The record is from RNAcentral. Lineage: Bacteria; Pseudomonadati; Pseudomonadota; Gammaproteobacteria.
AGAGUUUGAUCCUGGCUCAGAUUGAACGCUGGCGGUAUGCUUAACACAUGCAAGUCGAACGGUAACAGGCAAAGCUUGCUUUGCGCUGACGAGUGGCGGACGGGUGAGUAACGCGUGAGAAUCUGCCUACUAGCGGGGGAUAGCCCGGUGAAAACCGGAUUAAUACCGCAUACGCCCUACGGGGGAAAGCUUGGGAUCUUCGGACCUGGCACUAGUAGAUGAGCUCGCGUGAGAUUAGCUUGUUGGUGGGGUAAUGGCCUACCAAGGCAACGAUCUCUAGCUGGUCUGAGAGGACGAUCAGCCACACUGGAACUGAGACACGGCCCAGACUCCUACGGGAGGCAGCAGUGGGGAAUCUUGGACAAUGGGGGAAACCCUGAUCCAGCCAUGCCGCGUGAAUGAUGAAGGCCUUAGGGUUGUAAAAUUCUUUCGAUGGUGAAGAUAAUGACGGUAACCAUUAAAGAAGCCCCGGCUAACUCCGUGCCAGCAGCCGCGGUAAUACAGAGGGUGCGAGCGUUAAUCGGAAUUACUGGGCGUAAAGCGCGCGUAGGCGGCUGAUUAAGUCAGAUGUGAAAUCCCCGGGCUCAACCUGGGAACUGCAUCUGAUACUGGUCAGCUAGAGUUUAGGAGAGGGAAGUAGAAUUUCAGGUGUAGCGGUGAAAUGCAUAGAGAUCUGAAGGAAUACCAGUGGCGAAGGCGACUUCCUGGCCUAGAACUGACGCUGAGGUGCGAAAGCGUGGGUAGCAAACGGGAUUAGAUACCCCGGUAGUCCACGCCGUAAACGAUGUCAACUAGUCGUUGGACCCCUUGAGGGUUUAGUGACGCAGCUAACGCAUUAAGUUGACCGCCUGGGGAGUACGUCGCAAGACUAAAACUCAAAGGGANUUGCUG